This 73-nucleotide transfer RNA is filed under the name Camelus bactrianus (Bactrian camel). It matches the Rfam family "tRNA". From Rfam's summary of the family: Transfer RNA (tRNA) molecules are approximately 80 nucleotides in length. Their secondary structure includes four short double-helical elements and three loops (D, anti-codon, and T loops). Further hydrogen bonds mediate the characteristic L-shaped molecular structure. tRNAs have two regions of fundamental functional importance: the anti-codon, which is responsible for specific mRNA codon recognition, and the 3' end, to which the tRNAs corresponding amino acid is attached (by aminoacyl-tRNA synthetases). tRNAs cope with the degeneracy of the genetic code in two manners: having more than one tRNA (with a specific anti-codon) for a particular amino acid; and 'wobble' base-pairing, i.e. permitting non-standard base-pairing at the 3rd anti-codon position. The record is from Rfam by way of RNAcentral. Lineage: Eukaryota; Metazoa; Chordata; Mammalia; Artiodactyla; Camelidae. RNAcentral also lists the same sequence under 2 other names.
GAGGGCAUAGCUCAGUGGUAGAGCGCAUUGCCUAGCAUGCACAAGGUCCUGGGUUCAAUCCCCAGCAUCUCCA